GACGAACGCGGGCGGCGUGCUUAACACAUGCAAGUCGAACGAUGAAGCUCUAGCUUGCUGGGGUGGAUUAGUGGCGAACGGGUGAGUAACACGUGAGUAACCUGCCCUUUACUUCGGGAUAAGCUUGGGAAACUGGGUCUAAUACCGGAUAUUCUGCAUGGUCGGAUGGUUGUGUAGGAAAGAUUUUUUGGUAAGGGAUGGGCUCGCGGCCUAUCAGUUUGUUGGUGGGGUGAUGGCCUACCAAGACGACGACGGGUAGCCGGCCUGAGAGGGCGACCGGCCACGCUGGGACUGAGACACGGCCCAGACUCCUACGGGAGGCAGCAGUGGGGAAUAUUGCACAAUGGGGGAAACCCUGAUGCAGCGACGCCGCGUGGGGGAUGACGGCCUUCGGGUUGUAAACCUCUUUCAGUAGGGAAGAAGCGAAAGUGACGGUACCUGCAGAAGAAGUACCGGCUAACUACGUGCCAGCAGCCGCGGUAAUACGUAGGGUACUAGCGUUGUCCGGAAUUAUUGGGCGUAAAGAGCUCGUAGGUGGUUUGUCGCGUCUGCUGUGGAAACGUGCCGCUUACCGGUGCGCGUGCAGUGGGUACGGGCGGACUAGAGUGCAGUAGGGGAGUCUGGAAUUCCUGGUGUAGCGGUGAAAUGCGCAGAUAUCAGGAGGAACACCGGUGGCGAAGGCGGGACUCUGGGCUGUUACUGACGCUGAGGAGCGAAAGCAUGGGGAGCGAACAGGAUUAGAUACCCUGGUAGUCCAUGCCGUAAACGGUUGGGCACUAGGUGUGGGGUCCAUUCCACGGAUUUUGCGCCGUAGCUAACGCAUUAAGUGCCCCGCCCGGGGAGUACGGCCGCAAGGCUAAAACUCAAAGGAAUUGACGGGGGCCCGCACAAGCGGCGGAGCAUGCGGAUUAAUUCGAUGCAACGCGAAGAACCUUACCAAGGCUUGACAUGCACUAGACCAUCGCAGAGAUGUGGUUUUCUUUUUGACUGGUGUACAGGUGGUGCAUGGUUGUCGUCAGCUCGUGUCGUGAGAUGUUGGGUUAAGUCCCGCAACGAGCGCAACCCUCGUUCUAUGUUGCCAGCACGUGAUGGUGGGAACUCAUGGGAGACUGCCGGGGUCAACUCGGAGGAAGGUGGGGAGGACGUCAAAUCAUCAUGCCCUUUAUGUCUUGGGCUUCACGCAUGCUACAAUGGCCGGUACAGAGGGUGGCGAUACCGUGAGGUGGAGCGAAUCUCUUAAAGCCGGUCUCAGUUCGGAUCGUAGUCUGCAACUCGACUACGUGAAGUCGGAGUCGCUAGUAAUCGCUGAUCAGCAAUGCUGCGGUGAAUACGUUCCCGGGCCU
RNAcentral lists this ribosomal RNA (1343 nucleotides) under uncultured bacterium. RNAcentral describes it as "bacterial SSU rRNA". It matches the Rfam family "Bacterial small subunit ribosomal RNA", at positions 28 to 1381 of the family's 1533-position model. The record is from RNAcentral.